AUCAACGCAAAAGCAUAAAACUCGACUCCGGAGUGGCACUCAUGGACGCUACCCAACCGAGUAUGCAAGCGUGUCUCUGCCGAGCUCAAUCAGGCUCUCACAGGCUAUAAUCAAAGCAAAUGAGUCUAACUGGUCUAACAACCAAAACUCACGUGCUCUUGGCACAAUCUGAUGCAAAUACAGAAAUCUGGAUCCACCGUCAACCACGACGGCACCCGACAGUCCGAAACAGUCUAUACACUACUGUAAAAAUAAACUCGGCAUCCCAGCACGAGCGUAAACUCAUCCUACACUAAUCUGGGUAUUCACCGCAUACGAACAGCGACGAUACAAACAAACCACAGCUCCUAAAACUAAAUCUGAUAAUUUUCAGAAAGUGACAGUGUAGGGUUCAAUAGUUUUCUCUUAAGUCAAUUCCAAGUCCAAUAUGAAUUUACUACUAGCUUAACUCCAAAUUCAGAUUUUAUAGCCUAAUCUA
Molecule: long non-coding RNA, 478 nt
Filed under: Ananas comosus (pineapple)
Lineage: Eukaryota; Viridiplantae; Streptophyta; Magnoliopsida; Poales; Bromeliaceae
Description: long non-coding RNA (ACOM_LNC027046)
Source: RNAcentral